UCCUUAUUCUUGUUCAUCU
This 19-nucleotide small nuclear RNA is filed under the name Arabidopsis thaliana (thale cress). Its description in RNAcentral is "snRNA_01026". The record is from RNAcentral. Lineage: Eukaryota; Viridiplantae; Streptophyta; Magnoliopsida; Brassicales; Brassicaceae.